Nicotiana attenuata is the source of this 96-nucleotide microRNA precursor. It matches the Rfam family "MIR6152 microRNA precursor family". The record is from Rfam. NCBI's taxonomy places the organism in Eukaryota, Viridiplantae, Streptophyta, Magnoliopsida, Solanales, Solanaceae.
UGGACAAAUUAUUGUAUUCGACUGUAUUCACGGCGUGAAACAGGGGAUUAACUGUUUUUAAAUUGAAAAGUGAAUCAAUUGACAUAAUAGACUCCU